CACUCCUACGGGAGGCAGCAGUGGGGAAUUUUGGACAAUGGGCGAAAGCCUGAUCCAGCAAUGCCGCGUGUGUGAAGAAGGCCUUCGGGUUGUAAAGCACUUUUGUCCGGAAAGAAAUCCUUGGCUCUAAUACAGUCGGGGGAUGACGGUACCGGAAGAAUAAGCACCGGCUAACUACGUGCCAGCAGCCGCGGUAAUACGUAGGGUGCGAGCGUUAAUCGGAAUUACUGGGCGUAAAGCGUGCGCAGGCGGUUUGCUAAGACCGAUGUGAAAUCCCCGGGCUCAACCUGGGAACUGCAUUGGUGACUGGCAGGCUAGAGUAUGGCAGAGGGGGGUAGAAUUCCACGUGUAGCAGUGAAAUGCGUAGAGAUGUGGAGGAAUACCGAUGGCGAAGGCAGCCCCCUGGGCCAAUACUGACGCUCAUGCACGAAAGCGUGGGGAGCAAACAGGAUUAGAAACCCGGGUAGUCCCA
This 472-nucleotide ribosomal RNA is filed under the name uncultured organism. Its description in RNAcentral is "partial 16S ribosomal RNA". It matches the Rfam family "Bacterial small subunit ribosomal RNA", at positions 334 to 797 of the family's 1533-position model. The record is from RNAcentral.